This 445-nucleotide ribosomal RNA is filed under the name uncultured bacterium. RNAcentral describes it as "bacterial SSU rRNA". It matches the Rfam family "Bacterial small subunit ribosomal RNA", at positions 330 to 792 of the family's 1533-position model. The record is from RNAcentral.
GCCAGACUCCUACGGGAGGCAGCAGUGGGGGAUAUUGCACAAUGGGGGAAACCCUGAUGCAGCGACGCCGCGUGAGUGAAGAAGUAUUUCGGUAUGUAAAGCUCUAUCAGCAGGGAAGAAGAUGACAGUACCUGAGUAAGAAGCCCCGGCUAACUACGUGCCAGCAGCCGCGGUAAUACGUAGGGGGCAAGCGUUAUCCGGAUUUACUGGGUGUAAAGGGAGCGUAGACGGUUAUGUAAGUCUGGAGUGAAAGCCCGGGGCCCAACCCCGGGACUGCUUUGGAAACUGUGUAACUAGAGUGCAGGAGGGGCAGGCGGAAUUCCUGGUGUAGCGGUGAAAUGCGUAGAUAUCAGGAGGAACACCGGCGGCGAAGGCGGCCUGCUGGACUGAAACUGACGUUGAGGCUCGAAAGCGUGGGGAGCAAACAGGAUUAGAUACCCGAGUA